RNAcentral lists this ribosomal RNA (497 nucleotides) under uncultured bacterium. RNAcentral's name for it is "partial 16S ribosomal RNA". It matches the Rfam family "Bacterial small subunit ribosomal RNA", at positions 28 to 507 of the family's 1533-position model. The record is from RNAcentral.
GACGAACGCUGGCGGCGUGCCUAAUACAUGCAAGUAGAGCGCUGAAGAGAGGAGCUUGCUCUUCUUGGAUGAGUUGCGAACGGGUGAGUAACGCGUAGGUAACCUGCCUUGUAGCGGGGGAUAACUAUUGGAAACGAUAGCUAAUACCGCAUAACAAUGGAUGACACAUGUCAUUUAUUUGAAAGGGGCAAUUGCUCCACUACAAGAUGGACCUGCGUUGUAUUAGCUAGUAGGUGAGGUAAUGGCUCACCUAGGCGACGAUACAUAGCCGACCUGAGAGGGUGAUCAGCCACACUGGGACUGAGACACGGCCCAGACUCCUACGGGAGGCAGCAGUAGGGAAUCUUCGGCAAUGGGGGCAACCCUGACCGAGCAACGCCGCGUGAGUGAAGAAGGUUUUCGGAUCGUAAAGCUCUGUUGUAAGUCAAGAACGGGUGUGAGAGUGGAAAGUUCACACUGUGACGGUAGCUUACCAGAAAGGGACGGCUAACUACGUG